ACGAUACUGGAGGAGUUUUAUAAGUGUUGAUUUUGAAUGAGUUUUCCGGAAAGGUUACUUUUCAAGGUUAUGGCACGGUUGGAAUAGGAGAACCAUGUGGAGUUGAGUACUUAGUGGCCUUCAUUUUCUAAAAGACUUAGCUUAUUUGCUUCCGCUGUGCAAUGAAGAUACCAGUCCAGUCACGCCAAUGCUCUGAUAUUUUCGGGGUGUGACAGAUUGGUAUCAGAGCUAUAGGUUACAGUGAAUAAGGUUUUCUGUAGGAAUACCUAGGCUCUAACCUCAAUUUUCUCUGGGACUUAGACUACUGAGACUUUGAAUACAUACAGAACGCCUAAGACUCGAAUAUGGUCUCCAACCAUUGCCGAAAAACAAACAAUCAAGAUCUUGUUUUCAAACAUACGCUAUUGUUGUGUUUUAUACACAAUACACAAAACAAAUACGCACGGUAAACAAAACUUUGAGAGUUAGGAAACAUGCAUUUAGGACCUUCGGAAACUUAUGUUGAAGUUCAUUAAAGGUCAUCACGUAGGAACCGCGAAUAUUAACUCGGGCACACACUAUCAUCCAUAUUGUCUACUAUAUUUUAAUUUCCCGAGCAGGCAGCCUACGCAUAACGAAACACUAGUGCCGAGAAUACAUGGAACUUAAAUUUUACGUCAACGGAUGUUGGAGUACAUCACAUUCUACGUGGAACGAAAAGCUAGUGCACAGGUUGAAGGGGUAUGGUCCCAGAUCUCGCGUCAGCAUCGACCGCGAGUGACCAUUAC
This 767-nucleotide long non-coding RNA is filed under the name Helianthus annuus (common sunflower). The record is from RNAcentral. Lineage: Eukaryota; Viridiplantae; Streptophyta; Magnoliopsida; Asterales; Asteraceae.